AUUAGAGCAGAGAGGAGUUAUUAGAUCCAACUGCAUUGACUGCCUAGAUCGAACAAAUGUUACUCAGAGCUACCUGGCUCGGAAAUCUUUGGAUUCUCAACUCCAAAGACUUGGUGCACUUUCUUCAAAUGAGUGCAUUUCUAUGUUCACUGAAGAUUUUGAAAUCUUUAAGACUAUGUGGGUGGAGCAAGGUGAUGAAAUAAGCCUGGAAUAUUCUGGAACACAUGCUCUAAAACGGGACCUUGUCAGGUAAUGGACGAAUUAUUUUGGGUUUAAAAAAAUCAACGCAAAAGCAUCAGUUUUCUACUUUA
Molecule: unclassified non-coding RNA, 311 nt
Filed under: Hevea brasiliensis (rubber tree)
Lineage: Eukaryota; Viridiplantae; Streptophyta; Magnoliopsida; Malpighiales; Euphorbiaceae
Source: RNAcentral